UACGUAGGGUGCAAGCGUUGUCCGGAUUUAUUGGGCGUAAAGAGCUCGUAGGCGGCUCAGCAAGUCAGGUGUGAAACCUCCAGGCUUAACCUGGAGGCGCCACCUGAUACUGCUGUGGCUGGAGUCCGGUAGGGGAGCAGGGAAUAUCCGGUGUAGCGGUGAAAUGCGUAGAUAUCUGGAGGAACACCGGUGGCGAAGGCGGCAUCCUGGACCGGUAUUGACGCUGAGGCGCGAAAGCUAGGGGAGCAAACGGG
RNAcentral lists this ribosomal RNA (254 nucleotides) under uncultured bacterium. Its description in RNAcentral is "partial 16S ribosomal RNA". It matches the Rfam family "Bacterial small subunit ribosomal RNA", at positions 524 to 776 of the family's 1533-position model. The record is from RNAcentral.